GAAACAGAGUUUGCAAGUUUCUCAAAUUGCCAAAGGACGACGGAAUUGAACCAGUGAGUUGAUUAUUGGAUAAUCCUAGACCACUGAGGUUUUUCAGAUUCCCCAACACACAAGGAAUUAGGCCAAAGAGUUGAUUAUUGGAUAAAUCCAGAAUGAUGAGGUUUUUCAGAUUCCCCAACACACUAGGAAUUAGGCCAGAGAGUUUAUUAUUGGAUAAUCGCAGACCACUGAGGUUUUUCAGAUUCCCCAACACACUAGGAAUUAGGCCAGAGAGUUGAUUAUUGGAUAAAUCUAGAGUGCUGAGGUUUUUCAGAUUCCCCAACACACUAGGAAUUAGGCCAGAGAGUUGAUUAUUGGAUAAAUCCAGAGUGCUGAGGUUUUCCAGAUUCCCCAACACACUAGGAAUUAGGCCAGAGAGUUGAUUAUUGGAUAAUCCCAGACCACUGAGGUUUUUCAGAUUCUCCAACACACUAGGAAUUAGGCCAGAGAGUUGAUUAUUGGAUAAAUCUAGAGUGCUGAGGUUUUUCAGAUUCCCCAACACACUAGGAAUUAGGCCAGAGAGUUGAUUAUUGGAUAAUCCCAGACCACUGAGGUUUUUCAGAUUCUCCAACACACUAGGAAUUAGGCCAGAGAGUUGAUUAUUGGAUAAAUCUAGAGUGCUGAGGUUUUUCAGAUUCCCCAACACACUAGGAAUUAGGCCAGAGAGUUGAUUCUCAUGAAGAGACAAAAGGGUCAAGUUGUU
RNAcentral lists this long non-coding RNA (742 nucleotides) under Capsicum annuum. Its description in RNAcentral is "long non-coding RNA (CANN_LNC018281)". Lineage: Eukaryota; Viridiplantae; Streptophyta; Magnoliopsida; Solanales; Solanaceae. The record is from RNAcentral.